This 1813-nucleotide long non-coding RNA is filed under the name Arabidopsis lyrata. Lineage: Eukaryota; Viridiplantae; Streptophyta; Magnoliopsida; Brassicales; Brassicaceae. The record is from RNAcentral.
GAUGAUGAUUACGGUGAUUGAGAGAUGGUCGUUGCUGCUGAUGAGUUGCUUUGCUAGCUUCACGGUUGGCCGGAGAUGGCCAAUUCCCGGCGAAGGUAUGAACACGAGCUCAAUCAUCUUCAUUUCUGUUUUUUUUUUUUUUGGGUUUUUGGACUUUCCGUGUUGGCUGGGUUUAGAAUUGGUAAAAGUAAAGGGAUUAUUUUAUAAAGUAAAUGAAGUUGUUUGUUGGGUCACGUAAGCUGGCCCAUUUAGCAUUGUUGGGCCAAGGAAAACCUAAAAUAUAGAUAUGGUAGCCGCCGAAGGAAACCCUAAUUUCUCACAGAAGAGUUUCUUUCUGUCUCUCUGUGUGUAUUUAUAUGGUUUCGUUUUCUACAAAUUCGUAGGAUCUUGCUCUCUUUUCAUGUCUGUUUGAUAUAAUUGGUUAUUUUAGGGAUAGGUAUGUGACUAUUUUCGUGUCUGUAUAUGAUAAAAUUGGUGAUUUUUAGGGUUUUUGUGUAAGAGAUUUGUGAUGUGUGGAAGGGGUUACUAUGGUGAUGAUACAAGUGUAUGUGGACUAGAGUUUCAGAUCUGGGAUUCUUCUCCCAGAAGUUGAAGAUUAACCCUUGGCUGUCUGAGUAUUAAUUACCCUUUCACACAAAAAUCUUAUCUUUUGUUUGAUUUGAUUGAUGUUUUUGUCCUUGUUUGGGGGAGAAGCUGAUGAUGAUAAAAGACAAUUAUCUUAGCGGAUUUCAGUGAGGUUUUUCAAUCAAUGAUCUGAAUUUGUUACACACACUGAAGCUUUUAUGUUUUUCUUACAAUGUUUAGUUUAGUUUUGUUGGAUUAUUAUUAUCUGGUUUGAUUGAUGUUUUUGUCCUUGUUUGGCUUAUAUAAGCUGAUGAUGAUAGAAAACAAUUAUCUUAGCGGAUUUCAGUGAGGUUCUUGAAUCAAUGAACUGAAUUUGUUACACACACUGAAGCUUUGUUCUUUCAAUGUUUUUUUAUUUAAUUUGUGAUUGAUGAUGCAAUGAUGAGAGAAAAGCACGAAGAGUGUGAGAAGAGCAGUGGUUAUACCGUGAGCUCUCCUAUUUAAACGACUUCUCCUUCCACUGAGCAUAUUGAAACAAAUUUUCCCCUAUUGAAGAAAUAUUUUUUUUAAGUGUUUUUAGGUUUUUGUAUUGGCGUCCAUUACCAAUUCUGAAGGAUAAACACAAUUCCUUCAGGUAUAAUGGCUUGUGACGCUAUAUUUGUUGUGGUAUAUCCUGAUCAUCUUGCUAUCUUCCCUGCCUUUUGAUCCUGGAAAUGCCUCGCACAUAAUAACAACUAUAGUAUGUGUAAUUUGUUGACUACGUAUUCAUUUCAUUUGACAUCUUUUGCUGCUUUUUCAGCUCUUAUAUUAGCUUUUUCAUCAACAGACGAUCGUUGCAUUGUUGUGAGUGCUACAAUGUCUAUGGAAUUCUUACAAGAUUGGUAAAGUUGCUGAGAUGCUAGAGACUAUGAGGGGCAUAUGGGGAUAUUACGGGGAAACAGCCACUUGUUUUUCCUCGUUAUUCAUUGAUUUUCGGAGUUGACACUUCUUUGCGAGCUUCAAAGUUGACACUUCUUUGAUUUUCGGAGAUUUUAGGACUUUAUGUAAACAGUUUCUAUGUUCAAAUGUUGUUUCCUUUGCUACUUUUGGAAAACAAGUUGACAACUAUGAACUGUUUUUGGACUUUUAAUGAAUUCAGGACUCCUAUGAAAGUGAUUAACAAAACAAUUGACUUAUCAGGAAACAAGUGUUUGGUCGAAUGAGUUGAUUUUUGGACAUUUAAUGAAAAUUAGGGACACAUGGAAGUGAC